Molecule: ribosomal RNA, 304 nt
Filed under: uncultured bacterium
Lineage: Bacteria
Description: partial 16S ribosomal RNA
Rfam family: Bacterial small subunit ribosomal RNA
Source: RNAcentral
CAGCAGCAGCCGCGGUAAGACAGAGGAUGCAAGCGUUAUCCGGAAUGAUUGGGCGUAAAGCGUCUGUAGGUGGCUUUUCAAGUCCGCCGUCAAAUCCCAGGGCUCAACCCUGGACAGGCGGUGGAAACCACCAAGCUGGAGUACGGUAGGGGCAGAGGGAAUUUCCAGUGGAGCGGUGAAAUGCGUUGAGAUCGAAAAGAACACCAACAGCGAAAGCACUCUGCUGGGACGACACUGACACUAAGAGACGAAAGCUAGGGGAGCAAAUGGGAUUAGAUACCCCGGUAGUCCCUGUCUCUUAUAA